Molecule: long non-coding RNA, 2118 nt
Organism: Neopelma chrysocephalum (saffron-crested tyrant-manakin)
Lineage: Eukaryota; Metazoa; Chordata; Aves; Passeriformes; Pipridae
Exons: 8
Source: RefSeq, a predicted model, not a curated record
CCGCGGGCUGGGCAGAAGCGCGGUCGGGCUGCAGGAGCGCGGGGUGCCCCGUGCGAAGGGGCGGCUCGCCGGACCCCCUCACCCGAACUCCGGGGUUGUCCCCCCUGCAGUGGCCGGCGGGGCCCGUCCCUCUGUGGAGUGCACAGCGUGCGGCCCACACCGCUGUGCGCUGGUUGCGGGCGGGCAGGGGCGGCUCUCGGGAAAGGAGCACCUGGCACCGUGGCAGCGGGAAGGGGCGAGGGUGGGCUGAGGGGGGGGGAGCUACGGGGAGAGGGGUUUCCUCAGGGGGAUCCCACCGGCUCGCUCCCCCACCUAGAAAGUUAAGUCAGGGCUUGACUGAGCCCUGGCGAGGGGAGAGCCAGCUCUCUGCUCCCUAGCUGGACCCUGGGCCAGCAAGGGACCAGCAUGUCUCCUUGGUUUGGCUGAGGUGGGAAAGCCUGUGUAGAUGCAGGCUGGUGGAGGUCAUUGGUUGAGGAGUCCCUUGAAAGCCUUCCCUAGGACAUGUAACAUGCAAUCAAGUUUCCUUUUCUCUACAUAACCAGCACCUUUGCAGUCAGACAACGCUGCUUUGCCAGCCGAGGCUCGGGGUGAGCUCCUCUCUGCCUGUGCAGGGUUUGGAUGUUACCAUCACACCUGAUAUAUUUCCCCAAAUGAAGAAGCAGUGUAUCUCUGUCUUCUCUGCAGAAAUUUCUGCUGGAAUGGAGAAAGAAAAGUUUGCAUAAGAACUUGUCACAAAGACAAAUGAGUUUAAGAGACUAAGAAGAGAGCCAUGUCAUUUGAAGUUCACAAAGAUGGUGAUCAACAAGCCACCAGAAUUAUAGAUGGAGCUGUUCUGUGAGAACAAAAUGGAUGUUAAUCUGUAACUUAUGUCAACUCUGUGUCCUCCAGGAAACACUGUAAACAGUUGAUUUCACUUCAUUGUGAAUACUCUAGUCUUUCUCUAAGAGAUGAAGAUGCUACUCAUGCAAGCAGCUUGGAAACUUGCAGUUCUUUAAAAGAACAAAGAGAAUUUUGAGAACAAGUACAUUGCAAGGUGUUUGAAAUGUGUCCAUGCAUUUCCUGCAUAAUUGGAUCCUACCUCAUUAAGGGAAAAUUUUAUUGGAAAGAUGCGAUGCUAGUUCAAAUGUCAUUCCUCAGUGCCACAAAAUAAUGUGGCUGCUCCACAAGAAUAGAGGUCCUGCAGAGCAAGCAGUGUCAGGACUGUUUUGAGAGUGAGAGCACUGCUAAGAUGAGACUUCUGUCGAGGGAAAAACGGAGAGCAUAAUUUUUGCUUGAAGGCAAGAAUAUAUAAUGGCAUUUUCCCCCUUUAAUCUGAAACUUGGAGAGAAAAACAACAGCAUUUUGAAAAAGAGAAUGGACAAAGAGGAGUGAGAAUAACUGGCAGUGGGUGAGAUGCUUUCAUGACAAGGAUAAAUAGUAAGCUGAGGAAGAACACAGAAUGUGGCUUGGAGAUGCUUUGAAUAGGCUUUCUUCAAAGUGUUUAUUUCUUUAUUUUGCUUAAUUACUUCAGAUUUAUACCUAUGCGUUUUGAUUUACUUGCAAAAAAAAAAAAAAAAAGAUUGUAGAAGCCAAACCCUUGUUGUGCUCUAAACUCUUCUCACUACAAUGCUGUCUGGGGAAGAGUGUGUUGCCCUCACAUAAGUGUGUAGAACUGACUUGCAGUUACCUCUGUAUCCCUGACAAUUCCCUCGAGCACAGACAGUCUAUGACAAGUGAAAACUGUUGAUGUUUCCUGUGAUAAAACUUCAAAAUUCCACUUGGGGUCAAUGAAGCAAUAUUUAAUUUCAAGAAAUUGAAACACUUCAUUCAGAUUUGGACUCUUUUAAUUUUAUAUUAUUAUGAUAUGAAAAAUAGUGGAAACAGAAGAAUAUCACCAGGGGAAACUAGUAUCAUUCUAUUUUCUGUGCUUCAAUAUACACCCUAAAUAAUUAUUGCAUGAGGGUUUUUUGUUUAUGGAGGGCAUAUAGGGGUUUUUUGGGUGUUUUAUUUGGGGAGGUAUUUGUUUUAAAUUUCUAAUGGAUUUUUCAGUGCAGACAUGUAUUUCUGUGUCUGGGGAUCUGUGAAAAAUGAUUCCUGAAAAAUUAAUUUUCAAACAAUCAUUAUUAUUUUAGUUCAAAA